ACGCAAAUGAGGCCCGCUGG
Molecule: unclassified non-coding RNA, 20 nt
Filed under: Chlamydomonas reinhardtii
Lineage: Eukaryota; Viridiplantae; Chlorophyta; Chlorophyceae; Chlamydomonadales; Chlamydomonadaceae
Description: small RNA Cre_0306
Source: RNAcentral